RNAcentral lists this ribosomal RNA (592 nucleotides) under Rhodotorula mucilaginosa. RNAcentral's name for it is "eukaryotic LSU rRNA". It matches the Rfam family "Eukaryotic large subunit ribosomal RNA", at positions 65 to 671 of the family's 3401-position model. The record is from RNAcentral. Lineage: Eukaryota; Fungi; Basidiomycota; Microbotryomycetes; Sporidiobolales; Sporidiobolaceae.
ACAACGGGGGUUCCCCCUAGGUAGCGGCGAGCGAAGCGGGAAGAGCUCAAAUUUAUAAUCUGGCACCUUCGGUGUCCGAGUUGUAAUCUCUAGAAAUGUUUUCCGCGUUGGACCGCACACAAGUCUGUUGGAAUACAGCGGCAUAGUGGUGAGACCCCCGUAUAUGGUGCGGACGCCCAGCGCUUUGUGAUACAUUUUCGAAGAGUCGAGUUGUUUGGGAAUGCAGCUCAAAUUGGGUGGUAAAUUCCAUCUAAAGCUAAAUAUUGGCGAGAGACCGAUAGCGAACAAGUACCGUGAGGGAAAGAUGAAAAGCACUUUGGAAAGAGAGUUAACAGUACGUGAAAUUGUUGGAAGGGAAACGCUUGAAGUCAGACUUGCUUGCCGAGCAAUCGGUUUGCAGGCCAGCAUCAGUUUUCCGGGAUGGAUAAUGGUAGAGAGAAGGUAGCAGUUUCGGCUGUGUUAUAGCUCUCUGCUGGAUACAUCUUGGGGGACUGAGGAACGCAGUGUGCCUUUGGCGGGGGUUUCGACCUCUUCACACUUAGGAUGCUGGUGGAAUGGCUUUAAACGACCCGUCUUGAAACACGGACCAAAU